GAUGAAGAACGCAGCGAAAUGCGAUACGUAAUGUGAAUUGCAGAAUUCAGUGAAUCAUCGAGUCUUUGAACGCACAUUGCGCCCCCUGGUAUUCCGGGGGGCAUGCCUGUCCGAGCGUCAUUGCUGCCCUCAAGCACGGCUUGUGUGUUGGGCCUCCGUCCUCCUCCCGGGGGACGGGCCCGAAAGGCAGCGGCGGCACCGCGUCCGGUCCUCGAGCGUAUGGGGCUUCGUCACCCGCUCUUGUAGGCCCGGCCGGCGCUUGCCGACACAUGAAUCUUUUUUCCAGGUUGACCUCGGAUCAGGUAGGGAUACCCGCUGAACUUAAGCAUAUCAAUAAGCGGAGGA
Molecule: unclassified non-coding RNA, 345 nt
Filed under: soil metagenome
Description: partial contains 5.8S ribosomal RNA, internal transcribed spacer 2, and large subunit ribosomal RNA
Rfam family: 5.8S ribosomal RNA (bases 1-120)
Source: RNAcentral